This is a small nuclear RNA of Quercus robur (English oak), 162 nucleotides long. RefSeq annotates it as U1 spliceosomal RNA. The record is from RefSeq and is a predicted model, not a curated record. The transcript has a single exon. NCBI's taxonomy places the organism in Eukaryota, Viridiplantae, Streptophyta, Magnoliopsida, Fagales, Fagaceae.
AUACUUACCUGGGCGGGGUCAAUGGGUGAUCAAAAAGGCUCAUGGCCUAGUAGGGUGGCUUCCAUUGCACUGGAAGGAGGAAUGCCCCGCUAACAUCUCCCCAAGUGGGAGAGUGUACGUCAUAAUUUCUGCAAGUGGGGGCCUGCGUUCGCGCGGCCCCUG